Molecule: small RNA, 106 nt
Filed under: Marmota monax (woodchuck)
Lineage: Eukaryota; Metazoa; Chordata; Mammalia; Rodentia; Sciuridae
Source: RNAcentral
GCCAGGUGUGGUGGCACAUGCCUGUAAUCCCCAAGAUUUGGGAGGCUGAGACAGGAGGAUCACAAAUUCAAGGUCAGCCUCAGAAACUUGCAAGAACCUGUCUCAA